CUUAUACUCCCUCCAUCCUAAAUUUCUCGUCUUACAUUUGUUUAAAUACGGAUGUAUCUAGUUACGUUUUAGUGUUAAAUACAUCCGUAUCUAGACAAAUGUAAGACAAGAAUUUUGGGACAGAGGAAGUACAUG
This is a non-coding RNA of Triticum aestivum (bread wheat), 135 nucleotides long. The record is from Rfam. NCBI's taxonomy places the organism in Eukaryota, Viridiplantae, Streptophyta, Magnoliopsida, Poales, Poaceae.